Molecule: ribosomal RNA, 251 nt
Filed under: uncultured prokaryote
Description: partial 16S ribosomal RNA
Rfam family: Bacterial small subunit ribosomal RNA
Source: RNAcentral
ACGGGGGGGGCGAGCGUUGUUCGGAAUUACUGGGCGUAAAGGGCGCGUAGGCGGCCGGCUCAGUCAGACGUGAAAUCCCUCGGCUCAACCGGGGAACUGCGUCUGAUACUGGCUGGCUCGAAUCCGGGAGAGGGAAGUGGAAUUCCAGGUGUAGCGGUGAAAUGCGUAGAUAUCUGGAGGAACACCGGUGGCGAAGGCGGCUUCCUGGCCCUGUCCUGACGCUCAGGGGCGAAAGCGUGGGGAGCAAACCG